This 301-nucleotide ribosomal RNA is filed under the name uncultured bacterium. RNAcentral describes it as "partial 16S ribosomal RNA". It matches the Rfam family "Bacterial small subunit ribosomal RNA", at positions 509 to 807 of the family's 1533-position model. The record is from RNAcentral.
CAGUCGCCGCGGGAAUACGAAGGGCGCAAGCGUUAAUCGGGAUUACUGGGCGUAAAGCGUGCGUAGGCGGUGAGUUAAGUCUGCUGUGAAAUCCCCGGGCUCAACCUGGGAAUGGCAGUGGAUACUGGCUCGCUAGAGUGUGUCAGAGGAUGGUGGAAUUCCCGGUGUAGCGGUGAAAUGCGUAGAGAUCGGGAGGAACAUCAGUGGCGAAGGCGGCCAUCUGGGACAACACUGACGCUGAGGCACGAAAGCGUGGGGAGCAAACAGGAUUAGAUACCCCAGUAGUCCCUGUCUCUUAUAC